Molecule: ribosomal RNA, 253 nt
Filed under: uncultured bacterium
Lineage: Bacteria
Description: partial 16S ribosomal RNA
Rfam family: Bacterial small subunit ribosomal RNA
Source: RNAcentral
UACGAAGGGGGCUAGCGUUGUUCGGAAUUGCUGGGCGUAAAGCGCACGUAGGCGGGUUUGUAAGUAGGGGGUGAAAUCCCAGGGCUCAACCCUGGAACUGCCUUCUAGACUGCAAGCCUGGAGGUCAGGAGAGGCGAGUGGAAUACCGAGUGUAGAGGUGAAAUUCGUAGAUAUUCGGAAGAACACCAGUGGCGAAGGCGACUCACUGGACACAUAUUGACGCUGAGGUGCGAAAGCGUGGGGAGCAAACAGG